CAGUCGCCACGGGAAUACGGAGGGUGCAAGCGUUACUCGGAAUCACUGGGCGUAAAGGACGCGUAGGCGGAUUAUCAAGUCUCUUGUGAAAUCUAACGGCUUAACCGUUAAACUGCUUGGGAAACUGAUAAUCUAGAGUAAGGGAGAGGCAGAUGGGAUUCUUGGUGUAGGGGUAAAAUCCGUAGAUAUCAAGAAGAAUACCUAUUGCGAAGGCGAUCUGCUGGAACUUAACUGACGCUAAUGCGUGAAAGCGUGGGGAGCGAACAGGAUUAGAUACCCCGGUAGUCCCUGUCUCUUAUAC
RNAcentral lists this ribosomal RNA (301 nucleotides) under uncultured bacterium. RNAcentral's name for it is "partial 16S ribosomal RNA". It matches the Rfam family "Bacterial small subunit ribosomal RNA", at positions 509 to 807 of the family's 1533-position model. The record is from RNAcentral.